Gymnodraco acuticeps is the source of this 5079-nucleotide long non-coding RNA. RefSeq lists it as uncharacterized. The transcript is spliced from 5 exons. NCBI's taxonomy places the organism in Eukaryota, Metazoa, Chordata, Actinopteri, Perciformes, Bathydraconidae. The record is from RefSeq and is a predicted model, not a curated record.
ACUACGCAACAUUCACACUCCUAUUGGCUAGCACUCCAACACAUUGUACGUGAAAGGCCAAGGGGCGGGACGUCUCUAAGCUGGUUGACCAAUCACAACAGAGGCGGCCAGCUAACCAAUCAGAGAAGACUGGGCUCUGGUUUCAGACAGAGGGUGAAAGAGGUGCUGCAGCACAGGCAGUAUGAGAAAAAUAAAGACCUUUUUGAACAUUAAAGCAUGGAGACAUGUCACAGUAGAGACAUACAGGGCCUCUUUAGGGUGUGUGUAGUGGUGUAACCUUGAGCUGGCUCAGCGUGAGCCUCAAAUUAUUAUUGUUCUGGGACAGAGAAUCCUCCUUCAAAGUGAAACAUUCUGCUGCAGUGCAGAUUCCUCUGACAUGUUUAAACAAAACCUUGACUGCAUUCCUAGGACACAAGCUGAAACAGGGGAUUUUGUCUUUUCCCCAUAAUGUCAUCACGCCUUCAUUAUUACUUCAUUGUGUUUAUCACAUUGUUUCCUAAUGAUUAAGAGUCACUUUUAACAGAGAGCGCCCUUUGGCCCCUCAGUGUCAUUGGAGUAGGAACAGUGUCAAAGAUGAUAAGUUCUUUACGUCACUGGCUGGUGAGUUCUGCUACUUUAAACAGGUCAAGGAGGCUAUAAAAUGUCUGUUGCAAGUCAUCGCGCUACUUAACCUGCACUGCAAGGCGUGUACUUGAAGGUGUGAUUUAGAAAAAAAGAAAACUGCCAUGGUCCUUUAUUACCCUGUGAUUGAGAUCCCUUUGAUGUGCGCUGGUAUCCUACUGUGGGCUUUUUGUUACCAUUUCGUAAGGAAGCGCAGAGAAGCAGAAAGAUUGUCCACGAUGCCGGCUAACUCUCCCUCUGUGUACGUGAUCCCCAUAUAUGAAGAGGAGCAGGUGGGAGAGGAAGACGAGGAAAUGAUGGACGUAUAUGAAGCUUAUUUUCAACCUCCUUACAGAGAGCCUCCCAUGUACUGCUCAAGAAAUGUCAGCCCUCCUCCAUACAGGUUCGAACCACCAUCCUAUCCAGACCCCCCUCCAUCAUACUCAGAUCUUCAACCUUACUCAGAGCGACCCUGAUCCUCCACCUCAUCCUUCAUACACUUCAAACAUCCUCUACUCUAAACAAACUGUACCUUUUUUUUUUACAUAACAUUCCUAUGGAAUCAAAUAAGGGUCACUUAGAGUUUGACAGAGUGAAAUGAUGUGCAGAAACUAUUUCCAAACGUGGUUGUAAAUAAGAUUUUGCAAGACCUGUCUGUUUGGAAAAUUGUAAAGAAAAUGAAUGAAUGAAGAAUUUCAGCCCUGAAGUACCUUUUAUUUAUGUGCUUUGAGCCAUAAUUUAAAAGCCUGGGUUUAAACUCACAGUAAUUCUUAACAUGUCUCUUAUUACAUAACAAAAAGCACAACAGAAUUUCACAAUAUCUUUUUUACCCUUAUUUGAGCCCAUACAGGUAACUGCUAACGUUAGUGCUUGUACGUGGUUAUAAGUUUCAUUUGGGACAUAAGUGUAUAUGAUUAAUCUACCUGUAAGCAAUCCACUGUGUGGAAAAGGAGAGACUGGGUUUGACUGUUUUAAAUACUAAAGUGUCAUACUCAACCUUGUUUAAACACUGCCAUAUGUACAAUAUGCAUACCUAAAAGAGAUUCAGUAUUUAAGUUAAGGCACUUGUUUACAUGCUUGAAUAUUACCAACUGUUUAACAUACAGUAUGUUAUUUACAAAAUAAAGUAAUUUAUAUUUGUGAAUACAAUUAAUUGAAGUCUUAUCAUGCUUGAAAUAUACCCCCCCACCCAACAUUUUAAAAGUAGAUCUGUAAAUUAGUAAAUACUAAAUAAGAUCAGUUUUAGUUCAGAAAGCCAUGUUUAUUUGGAGGGAUACAAUUGAAAUGUUUUGGUUAUUUUUGACAAAGUUUGUAUACUGCAAGUAGAACAAGAGUGGUCUUAUUAUUGAUCCCUGAGGAACGCCAUAGUUGUUGCUGUGCUGCAGCAAAUAGAGAGUGAAUGAUUUUGUUUAACAUGCAGGAUGUGUAAGACACAGAGCACACCUCUAAGUCCUGUGUCUUUAAAAAACAAACAAUAAUGCUGUAAAAGCUCAUCGGGUCAUGCACUUCCCUAAGUGACACACAUUAUCCUUUGAUACAGUCCUGAGGGCAGGACACUUUCUGUUUGUUUUGGAUCUUAAAAAAGGUAAGGACUCAUCCCAUUCUAAUAAAAUAAUCCAUUUAUCUUUUAAUUAUGUGUCAUCAAGGUAACGUACAGUAUGUUAGAAUUAGUUGAAUAUAGUCAUUUUCUCUAACAGUUGUAACGAGCAGCAGAUUUAUAUGAUGAAGGUUCACCGUCGGUUGUUAAACUCAGACAAUAAAGUUGAACAGUAUCCCGGUCAUUCAGAUAGUUUUGAUUCAAGCUUGUUUAUUUGUACAACGCUGAGGAGUUUUGAAAGCGUUUAAAAGUGCGUUAUUGUUAGUGAAAUACUGCAGGGUCAUAGGUCACAAGUCAACCAUGUGAUUGGUCAGUUAGUCUCGUACUAGUGGGCUUGAGUAUGUGAAGGCUGACACAUCAUAAUAUCCUGUGAGCCUACACCCACUUGUUGAUUUGUGUGUGUCACGUCUAAAGACUUCAUUUCCGGUCAGAGAAGACAGCUUGUUUUAUUCUUUUACUGAAAUAAAUCUGAUACUGUAGAGGUUUUCCAAGCUUGUCCACAUCUCCAGAACAUAUCAUAGAACAUUUAACACGUUUGAACAGCUGGACUCAGAUCUUAUUCUUAAGUAUAGUGAGCAAAAUUACAGCGUUAAAAUAAGUAAGAGCCCCUACAAUCAAGUAAGAGCGCUUAUUCUGCACAGCUGACCAUUCUCAGAAAAUAAAUGAUUGAAUUAUUAUAGAAUGAAUGCAUCAAAAUUGCACUAUUUUUUUUAUGCCAGUAGCUUGUGGAUUUUAUUGGCUCAAUGUUAUAAUGAUACGUCACAUUUGUUGAUUAUGUUUUGUUCAACUUAAGAUAGCAAGUAAAUACAAUGGAGUAUAUUAUCUUCAUUAUCUUAUUUAUCCUCAUGAUGUAAUUUAUCCUAAUUAAAUUAAUCAUCUUCAUUAUCUUAUUUACCCUCAUAACGUAAUCUUCAUUAUCUUAUUUACCCUCAUGAUGUAAUGUAAUCUUCAUUAUCUUAUUUACCCUCAUGAUGUAACGUAAUCUUCAUUAUCUUAUUUACCCUCAUGACGUAAUCUUCAUUAUCUUAUUUACCCUCAUGAUGUAACGUCAUCUUCAUUAUCUUAUUUACCCUCAUAACGUAAUCUUCAUUAUCUUAUUUACCCUCAUAACGUAAUCUUCAUUAUCUUAUUUACCCUCAUGAUGUAACGUCAUCUUCAUUAUCUUAUUUACCCUCAUGAUGUAAUGUAAUCUUCAUUAUCUUAUUUACCCUCAUGACGUAAUCUUCAUUAUCUUAUUUACCCUCAUGAUGUAACGUAAUCUUCAUUAUCUUAUUUACCCUCAUGAUGUAACGUAAUCUUCAUUAUCUUAUUUACCCUCAUAACGUAAUCUUCAUUAUCUUAUUUACCCUCAUGAUGUAAUGUAAUCUUCAUUAUCUUAUUUACCCUCAUGAUGUAACGUAAUCUUCAUUAUCUUAUUUACCCUCAUUAUCCUCAUUAUCUUCUUUAUCUUCAUCAGGAAGUACACUAUUUUCAAUAUGUAUUGGAUUAAAAGUCAAAAUAACAGGAAAUGGAAAUACUCAAAAAAAAGUACAUAAAGUACUUGAAUGACUGUAAUUAGUAACCGUCUACUUGCAUUCAUAUUCAGUCUACAUUAUUCUAAUUUCAAUUAGUUGUCACACUGUCAAUGGUUGACCAUGUUACAUAUCAUUAUUUAGUUUUUUCCUUAGAGCAAUGUCAGCAGGUUGACAUAACACCAGCCAUGGCUCCAGUAGGGAAUAUCCUCCAAUAUUUGUAAGUAAUCAAAUAAAGGCAAACAUGAAAUCGUCCAGAUGAUAUACCUCUGAGGUCUCUGAAUGAUGGAAAUGUGCUCCUAGAUUCCCAGGCUUGGUGGUGUCCAUCGCUGUGGUUCUCCUCUGCUUCUAUAUGCAGGCAAAAAAGAAAAGAGCAGCGUAUGACGUCACCGUACCGACGCCACAUGAUGACAACCGGCUCUCUACGAUUUCUUUGUCUGAGGAUCAGGCAGAAGAAGAAACACAAUAUGACAGAUUCCCUCCUCGGUACAGCACUGUGGAUCUCCCCCCACCAUACUCACUGUUUGAUCCCAAGAUUACCAGCAUUUGGUCCGAUGACUCUCCACCUGCAUAUGAGAUGUAUCCGAUAACGCCGUCUCCUCAUCACUGGAUGACACCCGCGGGACACCUGCAUCCAUAACAACCAUCAGCCCCCGCAGCCACACAGGAAACACCAGGCCUCCAAAAGCUUUACAUUUUAACUUACCAAACACUGACUUAUCUUAUGUUGUUUCUGUGUAUGCUGAAAAAUACUAUGUCACUUAUUUAAUGCUUUGAGCUUUGCAUUGAUAUUAACUGUAGACAGUGAAGCAAUCCUCUCAACAUCUCCAUUUUAAUACACUUUGAUAUGAACAUCAAACUAGUGUAGCUGUCCCACUGCAUCUACACACCAGCAGAACCAUGAAAGCACCGAGGGGCUCUCUAUGUUAUACUAUAUACUCUUUAUUACAAUACAGUACUUACAAGUUUGAGGGGAAAUAAAAUAGAUAUUCAAUGCAUUGCCAGUAUUAUUCUUCUCCAUUCUCUAAGAAGGAACAUGUACAGUGAGUGUUUCCUUGGCUUUUGAACAACGUUAAGGCAAAAGUAAGUAUGUAAAUAUUUGACUGUAUGUAAAUCAGAAAUAACAGAAACAAAACGUCCAUUAAUUGUCCAACCUGUAUUGUUAGGUAACAUAUUUGCCUUCAUUAUACAAUCAGUGCAUACUGUAGGCUACUUUUACAUUUUUUGUUGUUCUUAGUGCUACAAAUAAAACUCCAACAGAAUCAAUUUGCUGGGUCGUCUCUCUGUCGAAUAAACCUGACGCUUUACCAGCAUAGGACAACAAAUGUAUAAUGUAAUCAACAUUCAAAGAUAAAAGGAUUGCAAUCUUAA